This 429-nucleotide ribosomal RNA is filed under the name uncultured bacterium. Its description in RNAcentral is "bacterial SSU rRNA". It matches the Rfam family "Bacterial small subunit ribosomal RNA", at positions 355 to 776 of the family's 1533-position model. The record is from RNAcentral.
UCGAGAAUCAUUCACAAUGGGGGCAACCCUGAUGGUGCAACGCCGCGUGGAGGAUGAAGGCCCUAGGGUCGUAAACUCCUGUCAUAUGAGAGUAAGGCAUAUUAGUUAAAAGCUGGUAUGUUUGAUAGUAUCAUAAGAGGAAGGGACGGCUAACUUCGUGCCAGCAGCCGCGGUAAUACGAAGGUCCCGAGCGUUAUUCGGAAUCACUGGGCGUAAAGGGAGCGUAGGCUGCGCGGUAAGUCAGAUGUGAAAUCUCAGGGCUCAACCCUGAAACUGCAUCCGAUACUGCCGUGCUAGAGUAAUGGAGAGGUAAGUGGAAUUCUCAGUGUAGCAGUGAAAUGCGUAGAUAUUGAGAGGAAGACCAACGGCGAAGGCAGCUUACUGGACAUUUACUGACGCUGAGGCUCGAAGGCUAGGGUAGCGAAAGGG